This 464-nucleotide long non-coding RNA is filed under the name Sinocyclocheilus grahami. Its description in RNAcentral is "lncRNA (ENSSGRG00000045697.1)". Lineage: Eukaryota; Metazoa; Chordata; Actinopteri; Cypriniformes; Cyprinidae. The record is from RNAcentral.
GGUUUUCAGUGCCUUCAGUGCAGGGUCAUGAUAAAACAUGCAGUUUAAACAUAUAUGACUUAUUUUGAGGAGUUUAAAUCUUCAUUACGAUGGUCAAACUUCCUUAUAAGUCACACUCUUGAUUGAGGUCCUGCUAACUACUGUUUUAUUUGCAUUUGUUUUCAGGGUACAUUACACUGUCUCCCUCAUCAACCCUCAGUGGGUCAAAUUAAGGCCCCUGUCCAGUGUGUGGAAAACCCUAAAGGAUUGGGUGGAGUCAUAAUAUAUGACCAGAGGACGUUCACCAUGAACAAACAACACUUGGUGGCAGUUCUUCUCUCUAGAGGUGAAAAAAUCUAUCAGACCAGUUCUGUUGUAAUGGCAAGUGAAGACAAGAAAGAGAAAUGCCUCCCAAGACCUUAACAUCACACCCUUUAUACUUAGAAUAAAGGCAUUUUACCAUCAUUUCGUCUUCGUGUCUUUCA